CAGUAGCCACGGUAAUACGUAGGGUGCAAGCGUUAAUCGGAAUUACUGGGCGUAAAGCGUGCGCAGGCGGUUAUAUAAGACAGAUGUGAAAUCCCCGGGCUCAACCUGGGAACUGCAUUUGUGACUGUAUAGCUAGAGUACGGCAGAGGGGGAUGGAAUUCCGCGUGUAGCAGUGAAAUGCGUAGAUAUGCGGAGGAACACCGAUGGCGAAGGCAAUCCCCUGGGCCCGUACUGACGCUCAUGCACGAAAGCGUGGGGAGCAAACAGGAUUAGAUACCCCGGUAGUCCCUGUCUCUUAUAC
This 301-nucleotide ribosomal RNA is filed under the name uncultured bacterium. RNAcentral's name for it is "partial 16S ribosomal RNA". It matches the Rfam family "Bacterial small subunit ribosomal RNA", at positions 509 to 807 of the family's 1533-position model. The record is from RNAcentral.